RNAcentral lists this ribosomal RNA (359 nucleotides) under uncultured bacterium. RNAcentral's name for it is "bacterial SSU rRNA". It matches the Rfam family "Bacterial small subunit ribosomal RNA", at positions 29 to 416 of the family's 1533-position model. The record is from RNAcentral.
AACGAACGCUGGCGGCAGGCCUAACACAUGCAAGUCGAACGCUCCGCAAGGGGAGUGGCGCACGGGUGAGUAACACGUGGGAACCUACCUUCUGGUACGGAACAACCAAGGGAAACUUUGGCUAAGACCGUAUACGACCUCCGGGUGAAAGAUUGAUCGCCGGAAGAGGGGCCCGCGUCCGAUUAGGUAGUUGGUGAGGUAACGGCCCACCAAGCCUUCGAUCGGUAGCUGGUCUGAGUAGGAUGACCAGCCACACUGGGACUGAGACACGGCCCAGACUCCUACGGGAGGCAGCAGUGGGGAAUAUUGGACAAUGGGCGCAAGCCUGAUCCAGCCAUGCCGCGUGAGUGAUGAAGGCC